RNAcentral lists this unclassified non-coding RNA (405 nucleotides) under Hevea brasiliensis (rubber tree). The record is from RNAcentral. Lineage: Eukaryota; Viridiplantae; Streptophyta; Magnoliopsida; Malpighiales; Euphorbiaceae.
GGUUAAAACCUGAAGACCAAAUAAAAAAUUUUCCUUAAUCGAAUAAAACCAUAUUUAUCUUUUCAUUUAAACUUGGUAAAACAUUAGACGAAAUGACUUCUAAUUUUGAUUGAAAUAUAAAUAAAGAAUUAAAUUAUUUAAUAUUCAAAAUAUAAAAAUUAAAUUAUAACAUCUAUUAAAACUCAAGGAAUAAAAAAUAAAUUUUACCCAAAAUAAAAUAAUCAAAAGAAUAAUGAAACUCUUUUGCUUCUCAAUUGUCAUUAAGGGAAACUUUAGGUUAAAACAAAAAAUUAAGGGAAACUUUAUGAAUGGGUCCGCUGUGACAGUGGCAACAUCUUAAUGCCUAUAAAUCGCAAUGGCCCAUAGGGUAAGGGGUGAGCACUAGUUGAUUAAAUUGAAAAAUCG